Molecule: ribosomal RNA, 432 nt
Filed under: uncultured bacterium
Lineage: Bacteria
Description: bacterial SSU rRNA
Rfam family: Bacterial small subunit ribosomal RNA
Source: RNAcentral
AAUCAACGCUGGCGGCGUGCCUAACACAUGCAAGUCGCACGAGAAAGGGAGCAAUCCCUGAGUAAAGUGGCGCACGGGUGAGUAACACGUGACUAACCUACCCUCGAGUGGGGAAUAACCUAGAGAAAUCUGGGCUAAUACCGCAUAACACUUACGAGUCAAAGCAGCAAUGCGCUUGAGGAGGGGGUCGCGGCAGAUUAGCUAGUUGGCGGGGUAAUGGCCACCAAGGCAAUGAUCUGUAUCCGGCCUGAGAGGGCGCACGGACACACUGGAACUGAAACACGGUCCAGACUCCUACGGGAGGCAGCAGUGGGGAAUUUUGUCGCAAUGGGGGAAACCCGUGACGCAGCAACGCCGCGUGGAGGAUGAAAUCCCUUGGGAUGUAAACUCCUUUCGAUAAGGGAAGAUAAUGACGGUACCUAUAGAAGAACG